CCCGUUUUUGCAUCUGGGUGAUGAAGGCCAUGGUGUAAGAGACUCAGUCCUCCACUGGCUCACACUCUUCUCCUUGAAUUAUUGCAAAAAGAGAGAAGAAAAGAAACCAAGACCAUGUGCUUUGCCCUCUCUGGGGACAUCAGGAAAGCCAUAGUCCACCCCAAAUAUCCUUGGACAAGUUGCUCACCAGUCUGCAGUACCAUUUAAUAUCAGCCCACCUACAAAUUAGGACUGAUCUUGAACUGUGAGGUUUCAAAUUUUCAUUGUCUCUAGCCAAGAGAGAAUGUAAAAUGGCUUCAUCAGGUGCAGCAAAGAAGCACUUCAGAAUCCACCCAUAACUCAACAGACACAAAGCUCUGUGUCAGGUCUGCAAGGUGCUGUAAGAUCUCUACGAGGAUAUGGGAACAUUUCUGGAACAACAGACUGCUUUGGACUAAGAGGAUUCUUUUACUGAGGAUAACAUCAAGCAUUUUUAAGGAGAUGACACUGCUAAAAUGCAAACAGCUGAGGGAGUGGCUCUAGGAUAGUGCUGCACAUACAUUUUGUCCUUUCCAGUGAAUUAAGAAGAAAACCUACAAAAACAACAUCCUAGUUUGCUUCAAA
Long non-coding RNA from Chiroxiphia lanceolata (lance-tailed manakin), 603 nucleotides. RefSeq lists it as uncharacterized. The transcript is spliced from 3 exons. Lineage: Eukaryota; Metazoa; Chordata; Aves; Passeriformes; Pipridae. The record is from RefSeq and is a predicted model, not a curated record.